This 481-nucleotide long non-coding RNA is filed under the name Suricata suricatta (meerkat). RNAcentral describes it as "lncRNA (ENSSSUG00005008572.1)". Lineage: Eukaryota; Metazoa; Chordata; Mammalia; Carnivora; Herpestidae. The record is from RNAcentral.
CUUGCUGUGGCGGCUAGGCCGCCGUGCACCUACCGGGAUGCUUGCCCCUGUUUUGCUUGUGGUCUCGGUCUGUGCUUGCCUCCUCCCUGGGGUUGCUCAAUUUGAGCUGCUAGAUAACAGCUUGUCUCAUUUAGCCGCAAGGGUCCCCCUGGCGCGCGGCGAGACGAAGCUUGGCUUGUACUCCUCCCAGACGCGGCUUGCUCAGUGCACUGAGAGGGUUUCACCGGUGUCUGGUGAGAACUUGUACAGGCAGGUCCGCAGCAGCACGCAGCGGAGCAUUCCGUCUUCCUGGCGCUGGCACACCAGAAUGUGGAAGUAAUGCCAUCUUGGAUAAUGUAGCCACAUGUUACUGUGAGCUUCACUUCUCAUCACCAUCAUGGCGCCUGGGUUGUGGGGUAGUUUGACUUGAAUGUGAAUAGACAGGUCCAGCAAGGGACUUUCCCAGCCAUGUUUCAGCUGUCCUGCUACUUCUGAGCCUUUG